This 460-nucleotide ribosomal RNA is filed under the name uncultured bacterium. Its description in RNAcentral is "partial 16S ribosomal RNA". It matches the Rfam family "Bacterial small subunit ribosomal RNA", at positions 338 to 795 of the family's 1533-position model. The record is from RNAcentral.
CCUACGGGAGGCAGCAGUGAGGAAUAUUGGUCAAUGGACGAGAGUCUGAACCAGCCAAGUAGCGUGAAGGAUGACUGCCCUAUGGGUUGUAAACUUCUUUUAUAAAGGAAUAAAACGAGGCACGUGUGCCUUUUUGCAUGUACUUUAUGAAUAAGGAUCGGCUAACUCCGUGCCAGCAGCCGCGGUAAUACGGAGGAUCCGAGCGUUAUCCGGAUUUAUUGGGUUUAAAGGGAGCGUAGAUGGGUUGUUAAGUCAGUUGUGAAAGGUUGCGGCUCAACCGUAAAAUUGCAAUUGAUACUGGCAGUCUUGAGUACAGUUGAGGUAGGCGGAAUGCGUGGUGUAGCGGUGAAAUGCUUAGAUAUCACGAAGAACCCCGAUUGCGAAGGCAGCUUACUAAACUGUGACUGACAUUGAUGCUCGAAAGUGUGGGUAUCAAACAGGAUUAGAUACCCUAGUAGUC